UACGAAGGGGGCGAGCGUUGCUCGGAAUCACUGGGCGUAAAGCGCACGUAGGCGGCUUUCUAAGUCAGGGGUGAAAUCCUGGAGCUCAACUCCAGAACUGCCUUUGAUACUGGGAAGCUCGAGUCCGGAAGAGGUGAGUGGAACUCCGAGUGUAGAGGUGAAAUUCGUAGAUAUUCGGAAGAACACCAGUGGCGAAGGCGGCUCACUGGUCCGGUACUGACGCUGAGGUGCGAAAGCGUGGGGAGCAAACAGG
This 253-nucleotide ribosomal RNA is filed under the name uncultured bacterium. RNAcentral's name for it is "partial 16S ribosomal RNA". It matches the Rfam family "Bacterial small subunit ribosomal RNA", at positions 524 to 776 of the family's 1533-position model. The record is from RNAcentral.